AUUGAACGCUGGCGGCAUGCCUUACACAUGCAAAUCGAACGGUAACGGGCCUUCGGGUGCCGACGAGUGGCGCACGGGUGGGUAAUACAUCGGAACGUGCCCGAUCGUGGGGGAUAACGAGGCGAAAGCUUUGCUAAUACCGCAUACGAUCUACGGAUGAAAGCAGGGGACCGCAAGGCCUUGCGCGGACGGAGCGGCCGAUGGCAGAUUAGGUAGUUGGUGGGAUAAAAGCUUACCAAGCCGACGAUCUGUAGCUGGUCUGAGAGGAUGAUCAGCCACACUGGGACUGAGACACGGCCCAGACUCCUACGGGAGGCAGCAGUGGGGAAUUUUGGACAAUGGGCGCAAGCCUGAUCCAGCCAUGCCGCGUGCAGGAUGAAGGCCUUCGGGUUGUAAACUGAUUUUGUACGGAACGAAAAGCCUUCUUUUAAUACAGGAGGGUCAUGACGGUACCGUAAGAAUAAGCACCGGCUAACUACGUG
RNAcentral lists this ribosomal RNA (482 nucleotides) under uncultured bacterium. RNAcentral's name for it is "partial 16S ribosomal RNA". It matches the Rfam family "Bacterial small subunit ribosomal RNA", at positions 30 to 507 of the family's 1533-position model. The record is from RNAcentral.